This 352-nucleotide ribosomal RNA is filed under the name uncultured bacterium. RNAcentral's name for it is "bacterial SSU rRNA". It matches the Rfam family "Bacterial small subunit ribosomal RNA", at positions 918 to 1269 of the family's 1533-position model. The record is from RNAcentral.
GGCCCGCACAAGCGGUGGAGUAUGUGGUUUAAUUCGACGCAACGCGCAGAACCUUACCCAGCCUUGACAUCCCUGGAUCGCCAUAGAGAUAUGGUUUUCUCCUUCACGGGAGACCGGGUGACAGGUGCUGCAUGGCUGUCGUCAGCUCGUGUCGUGAGAUGUUCGUUAAGUCCGGUAACGAGCGCAACCCCUAUCGUUAGUUGCCAUCAUUCAGUUGGGCACUUUAGCGAGACUCCCCGGUGUUAAACCGGCGGAAGAUGGGGAUGACGUCAAGUCCUCAUGGCCUUACGGCUGGGCUACACACGUACUACAAUGGUUGGUACAGAGGGCAGCUACCGGGUGACCGGAUGCG